Molecule: ribosomal RNA, 197 nt
Filed under: uncultured bacterium
Lineage: Bacteria
Description: partial 16S ribosomal RNA
Rfam family: Bacterial small subunit ribosomal RNA
Source: RNAcentral
ACGCUCGACACCUACUGGAGGCAGCAGUGGGGGAUAUUGCACAAUGGAGGAAACUCUGAUGCAGCGACGCCGCGUGAGGGAAGAAGGUUUUCGGAUUGUAAACCUCUGUCUUCGGUGACGAAAUGACGGUAGCCGAGGAGGAAGCCACGGCUAACUACGUGCCAGCAGCCACGGUAAUCUGAGCGGGCUGGCAAGGC